GACGAACGCUGGCGGCGUGCCUAAUACAUGCAAGUAGAACGCUGAAGGAGGAGCUUGCUUCUCUGGAUGAGUGGCGAACGGGUGAGUAACGCGUAGGUAACCUGCCUGGUAGCUGGGGAUAACUAUUGGAAACGAUAGCUAAUACCGCAUAAGAGUAGAUGUCGCAUGACGUUGGCUUGAAAGGUGCAAUUGCAUCGGUACGAGAUGGACCUGCGUUGUUUUAGCGAGUUGUUGAGGGAACGGAUCACCAUGGCGAGGAUACGUAGCCGACCGGCGAGGGGGGUCGGCCGGACUGGGAGGGAGACACGGCCCAUAGUGCCAGGGGAGGCAGCAGUAGGGCAUCGGCGGCAAUCGGUGGAAGUCUGACCGAGCAACGCCGAGUGAGUGAAGAAGGUUUUCGGGUCGUAAAGCUCUGUUGUAAGGGAAGAACGAGUGUGAGAGUGGAAAGUUCACACUGUGACGGUAACUUAUAAGAAAGCGACGGCUAACUACGUG
This 495-nucleotide ribosomal RNA is filed under the name uncultured bacterium. RNAcentral's name for it is "partial 16S ribosomal RNA". It matches the Rfam family "Bacterial small subunit ribosomal RNA", at positions 28 to 507 of the family's 1533-position model. The record is from RNAcentral.